Pelobates cultripes (western spadefoot toad) is the source of this 215-nucleotide non-coding RNA. The record is from the annotation of a GenBank genome assembly. Lineage: Eukaryota; Metazoa; Chordata; Amphibia; Anura; Pelobatidae.
GAAGGUAAACACAUUCUAAACAAAUAAAUCCCUGCAGCAAUAAGAAUGUAGAUGCAGAAAAACAGAGUAAAUCAAUCAAGCAAUCACUACAGCACUAAGUAGGUAGGUGUAGAAAAUACAGUAUAGCUAAAUAAAUAAAUCACUACAGCACUAAGCAGGUAGGUGUAGAAAAUACAGUAUAGCUAAAUCAAUCAAUCACUACAGCACUAAGCAGG